AGAGUUUGAUCAUGGCUCAGGAUCAACGCUGGCGGCGUGCCUAACGCAUGCAAGUCGGACGGGCUAUCCCUUCGGGGGUGGUUAGUGGCGGACGGGUGCGGAGCGCGUGACCGACCUGCCCCGCGGCGGGGGAUAACGCCGGGAAACCGGCGCUAAGACCGCGUGCGCUCGCCGCCCGGUGGGGGUGGCGAGGAAAACCCCGCAAGGGGUGCCGUGGGAGGGGGUUGCGUCCGAUUAGCUAGUUGGCGGGGUGACGGCCCACCAAGGCGGCGAUCGGUAGCGGGUCUGAGAGGACGGCCCGCCACAGGGGGACUGAGAGACGGCCCCCACACCUACGGGUGGCAGCAGCGAGGGAUUUUCGGCAAUGGGCGCAAGCCUGACCGAGCAACGCCGCGCGCGGGAUGACGCCCUUCGGGGUGUAAACCGCUUUUCCCGGGGGCGAAGAUGACGGUACCCGGGGAAUCAGCCUCGGCUAACUACGUGCCAGCCGCCGCGGUAAUAC
This 502-nucleotide ribosomal RNA is filed under the name uncultured bacterium. Its description in RNAcentral is "bacterial SSU rRNA". It matches the Rfam family "Bacterial small subunit ribosomal RNA", at positions 8 to 526 of the family's 1533-position model. The record is from RNAcentral.